AACGAACGCUGGCGGCAGGCUUAACACAUGCAAGUCGAACGAGAUCUUCGGAUCUAGUGGCAGACGGGUGAGGAACACGUGGGAACAUCCCUUUCAGUUCGGAAUAACGUUGGGAAACUAACGCUAAUACCGGAUACGUCCUUCGGGAGAAAGAUUUAUCGCUGAAAGAUUGGCCCGCGUCUGAUUAGCUAGUUGGUGAGGUAAUGGCUCACCAAGGCUACGAUCAGUAGCUGAUCUGAGAGGAUGAUCAGCCACAUUGGGACUGAGACACGGCCCAAACUCCUACGGGAGGCAGCAGUGGGGAAUAUUGGACAAUGGGCGCAAGCCUGAUCCAGCCAUGCCGCGUGAGUGAUGACGGCCUUCGGGUUGUAAAGCUCUUUUGUCCGGGAAGAUAAUGACUGUACCGGAAGAAUAAGCCCCGGCAAACUUCGUGCCAGCAGCCGCCGCCG
This 449-nucleotide ribosomal RNA is filed under the name uncultured bacterium. RNAcentral describes it as "partial 16S ribosomal RNA". It matches the Rfam family "Bacterial small subunit ribosomal RNA", at positions 29 to 523 of the family's 1533-position model. The record is from RNAcentral.